AGGAAUCCAGACCCUCUCCCACGCCUGAGGUCAGCGCCGGGACUCACCACCUCCCACGUCCUGUCUCGGGUGAGGGAGAUGACCACCAGGGAGGGGUUCACCAGGAAGCCAUCCUCAUUGAAGGAGUAAUCCCGGUUAUCCCAGGACCCUGUGUUCUUUCAAGAGAAGUCCAUGGUCUUAUUCAUCUCUGCGUUCCCAGUGCCCAGCAUGAGCCCUAGUUCCUAGCGGGCGCUCAAAUUCAGACAUGCCCUACAACCCAGCUUCGACUGUGCGGAAAGGAGAUGGCAGAGCAACAAGGUGGG
Balaenoptera ricei (Rice's whale) is the source of this 302-nucleotide long non-coding RNA. RefSeq lists it as uncharacterized. The record is from RefSeq and is a predicted model, not a curated record. The transcript has 3 exons. NCBI's taxonomy places the organism in Eukaryota, Metazoa, Chordata, Mammalia, Artiodactyla, Balaenopteridae.